AUGGAGAGUCUCCAUCCAGCUGGAUCACUGUCACAGACAAACACACCACCACACCUCCACCUACAUCUACCUCUCCUCCUACAUCCACACCACCUCCAUCACUCUCUCCUGUGGUUCUCUCUGUGUUGUCAUGUGUUGGAUCAGUUUGUGUUGUCGUUCUACUGGUGUUACUGGUUCUACUGGUGAAACGAUGUGUUCACAGGAAACCUGAAGACAGGGAUCCAGUUGCAGUCAACACAGCAGAGGGAAUUGAAGACAUUACCUAUGGUCAAAUCAUUGUCAAAAACAAAGCCACCAUUAGAGACUUCAAACCAGAGCCAGACGUCAUCUACUCUUCACUGAAGUAGUCCACCAGUCCAACCACUGAUGUCCAGCUGCUGGUCUCUAACUGGUCCCCCAGCAUCUCACACCAGAGGACAUCCACAUCCUGAAAGAAUUUGUUUAUGUUUUGUCUUUUUCACACCAAAUUAGACAAACUAUGUAAAAAAAACAUAUAUUUUAACUGCCAUUUUAAGAGUGUAUUUUUUCUUGCCAGAUCAAAAAAAGGUUUUAUAAACAUGUUUGUGUAUUUUAUGUGUAGUAACCUCAGUGCCAUUAGUAUUUUAUUUGUGCUUGUUGACUAAUAUUCCCAAGCCUGUGGUCUGUUAUCUUUGCAGUAUUAAUAAUCUUUUCUCCAAAAGUUGAUUCUGUUCAUCUGGACGAUUGAUCAACAAUCACUGAUUAAUGGCCAUGAGUACCAUUCACAGA
Long non-coding RNA from Oreochromis aureus, 747 nucleotides. RefSeq lists it as uncharacterized. The record is from RefSeq and is a predicted model, not a curated record. The transcript is spliced from 4 exons. NCBI's taxonomy places the organism in Eukaryota, Metazoa, Chordata, Actinopteri, Cichliformes, Cichlidae.